UUAGCCUACAUGGUAUUCCCAACGAGGCACAAUGCAACACCUCCACACCAGCUCAUUUUAACUAAAUUCACGGUUUGACUUGAAGACAUGGAAGUGAAUAAGAUAGGUUUCUCUCUGAAAGCUACUUACUUGGUCAGCAAGUAGGCCCACAAGGAGAGACGCGGAAAGUACUCGAUGGUGGGAAUGAGGAGGAAAGACAUCGGACUGGGCGUGCCGCUGCAAGUCCGGAGUUGAGAUUGCAUCUCACCCCACCCGCUCGCUCACCUAGGGGUGAUCCACAGAAUUGUUGUGUAAAUCAUUCACGGUCAUUUGUUAUUCGCCCAAUAACCUCAUUGAGACGUAUAUCAGGUGACAGCGAUGUAAUUCCUUGAUAUAGCAAAUUCCUAUAGGUUGUUUUACUUUCACUGGAUUUUUUUUUUUUAAGUGUUGGCUUUGUAUGAGGUUGUUGGAACCCAGCUAUGGAUUUUGGAGAAACGCUGGACACGCCUGCACCUUGUAUUUUGGACAAAGUUCAAGGUUGCUGCAUAAUUUUUCUCCAAAAUGCAUGAGUGAUUGUUUUUGGAUAACGGUACCGUCCGUUUCAAUUCACUGGAGUGUGUUUCUAACAAUUGUAUGUUUUCUUUGAUUUUGGGGGAGAACGGACAACACGUUUCAAAGAACGUUGUGCCAGGAACCAUUGGAUAAAUGUGAUCAGCAUGUUAGUCAAGGACAUUUUGCACUGCAACCGAGGUGCGAAGAGGCAUUGCUACCCAGCACAGAUGAAACCGAAUCGAUUGACUAAAACCCCCUUAUAGUAGUAACUUUACACUAUUAUAUCUUUGUUAUUCCUGUGCGUUUUCCAGCGUGUGUUUGCUAUACCUGUGGCCGGUGGUGGUACCUGAAGCUUGUCUCCUGUCUGGGUGUGCGUCUUUUCGCGUUCAGAAAUUUCCCUGCGCUGCCCGACUGGCGUUGCUAUAGAGCAACCCUACGCCGUCUCUGUAUCACCCCGGGCAGGAACGGAUCCAUCCGUGUGGGGACAGAAGUGCAAAGUUGGACGCUAAUCGCCAGGCACCGUGCGUUCGAGAGCGGGAUCUUUCGACUUUGAGGGACUGGAGAGAGGGCUCAAACCAAAAAGGCAGAUUGGCAGGUGGCCCGAGCUGAGCCAAUGACAGGCGGAGAGGAGCCUUAACGUCGGGCAGGCUUGAGUCCAGCCAAAGUAGGCUGUCAACAUAGAACAGAGUGGAGGCUACCCACACACACAUACACGGAUGAGAGCUCAGGCCACCGGCUUGUGGAUGACGCCAAGUGGCGGCUUCCCCUCCAUGUCUAUAAGUCUGGCAGUAACCCAGAGCUAUCAGAGACUGCAGCUGCUGACAACAACUGCAUUCAAGCAGGUAGCCCAGCGGCUAAGGAGUUGCGCCUGUGGCAGGAGUUGGACCUGUGGCCGAAAGGUGACCGGGUUUGAAUCCCGGGCUGGGUGCUGUAAAAGAAUGGGAGGAAUUUAUCUGACAACUGGAGGCUGCUGGGUUCACAUCCUCAAAACAUUCCCCUACUGUUGGGCCCUUGAGCAAGGCCCUUAACCCCACAACAUGCUUUCUGUCCAGGGGCGCUGCAUGCAGCUUGAACCUGUGCUGUUUCAACUGUGUGUUUGGAGGGUGGAGGGGGAGGGGUUGAGAAUGGAGCAGAAGACACAUUUUUGUUGUUCACUGUAACUAAUGGACAAAGUAUAUUGUAUUGCAAAGAAGUCAGCCAGAGUUGACAUGGGCCGUUAUUCAAACAAAGAGAUACCUUCCUGUCCACCAGUGCAUAUUUCCAAACUAUGUUUGCAUAUAAUGACAAUAAAUUCUAAAAACUA
Molecule: non-coding RNA, 1834 nt
Organism: Salmo salar (Atlantic salmon)
Lineage: Eukaryota; Metazoa; Chordata; Actinopteri; Salmoniformes; Salmonidae
Source: RefSeq, a predicted model, not a curated record